Gadus macrocephalus (Pacific cod) is the source of this 2641-nucleotide long non-coding RNA. RefSeq lists it as uncharacterized. Lineage: Eukaryota; Metazoa; Chordata; Actinopteri; Gadiformes; Gadidae. The record is from RefSeq and is a predicted model, not a curated record. The transcript has 2 exons.
CACACACACACACACACACACACACACACACACACACACACACACACACACACACACACACACACACACACACACACACACACACACACACACACACACACACACACACACACACACACACACACAGGUGUUAAGUAGGUCAUGGUAAACCCUUCACUGGAAUGCUUCAGUUGCGUAGUUCAGAGGUUGGAGCCAUUGACCUCCAAUUAUUGGUUGGCCACUCAAAGCCAACCCCACAUUCACACUGAGAAAUAACUGGACACAUUGUGAUUUCUCCAUCUAUGUAUCUAGCAAUCUUUGUAUCUAUCUAUCCCCUUGUGUCCCUGUUUCUCCCGCACUCGUGACGUCUGAGAAGAGAAAUACGCAGGUCUCUAUGGCACCGAACUUUUCUGGCCGUCCAACUUUCCCUUAUUGUCUCCGUCGCCACGGCAACCGCGAGUUGUUGAAUCAGUGGCACAUAUUUAUUGCAAACAUCCUGAGCCAUUGCUGUGGGAGUGAGUGAGGGUGGUGGUUUCCCUCAAGACUCCCUUCGGACGAGAGGGAGACAAGCAUUUCUUGUGGUUACGUGUGUGUGUGUGGGGGGGGUGGGUGUGUGUAUGUGUGUGUAUGUGUUUUGUUUAGUGUUUUUGUCCGAUGGGGCGGGUGCCUGUGUGGGAGGGGAGAUGUGUGGGGCCGGGGGCUGGUUGUUGGUCGGGUCUUGUCUGGUCCCGUUGAGCUGUGGGAAAACCCCACAUACUCUCUUCCUUCAACUCCUCCUCAUAACACACAGACUGACGAGGAGAGAGUCAUACAGAAAGAGGUGAGGGAGAGAAGGAAUGAAAAGGGAGACAUAUUGUAUCUCUUUGUUGUCCCUCUUUCUCUUUUUCUCUCUCUCUCUGUCUUUCUAUUUCUGCAAUAUAUAUAUAUAGGCCUCUUUGCUAGGCUAACCCUCCAUUAAGUCGAAGGGCCAGGCUAGUCUGUUUGUAGGUAUCAGGACCUGGCUAGUCUGCCUUUAGGUUUCAGGGCCUUGCUAGUCUGUUUGUAGGUAUCAGGACCUGGCUAGUCUGCCUGUAGGUAUCAGGACCUGGCUAGUCUGCCUGUAGGUAUCAGGACCUGGCUAGUCUGCCUGUAGGUAUCAGGACCUGGCUAGUCUGCCUUUAGGUUUCAGGACCUGGCUAGUCUGCCUGUAGGUAUCAGGACCUGGCUAGUCUGCCUGUAGGUUUCAAGGCCUGGCUAGGCCCUCUCUUUUAAAGAGAGGGCUUUCUUUCCCUUCUUCUGCUUCCAGGAUCGGGGAAAAGAUCUAGUCUUCAUUAGGAAAACAUGUUAUUACUUAUAUCUGCGGGGACCCACUUGAAAUAGAACUCAAGUGUAUGUGUGCUUUUGGACUGGAUGGUCUCAUGCUGUACAAAUAUGAAGAUCAAGUUGACUUGUGUUUAAAAAAAAUAAAAGGAGAGGUUGAAAAGGUCAGCCAAUUGGUUUUAUUGAAUAGAGAAGAAGUGAACACGGUGUUCGCACUGCCUCGAGGCAAUCCAGCGACAAGAUUUGUGAGUUUGUUUUACACCUUUGACAUAAGACCAUGGAAGAACAUUGAGUACUCCUGCUGCUCCACCGGCCCUAUCUUGCUAUGGGCAAUAUUUUAUGUCAUGCGUUUUGCUGAUACCUCCCUAUGUCAUCAGAAUCAGUCAAACAACGUUUUUACAUGCGCUUAUUUCUUUCCUCAGCCCAGAAUCCUGUCCUCAAUGUAUUGUGUAGUGCAUGUGCACAGGAUUUUGCAUGCGUGUACCACUACUAUGACUUCAGGGACGAUAUUUAAAAUAUUCAAGUAACCGUGUCGAACUAUAAUCUACAUCACUCCAUUGCUGUAAUAUGUACUUUGGGCCUAUUUUGAGCCAGCAUGAAACCGGAGAAGUAGUUUUUAUGUGGCUGUGAUGGGGCUUUGGUUGAGUUCACGUUUGGUAAAAGUUUAGACUAACCUCUCUCUCUCUCUCUCUCUCUCUGUCUCUGUCUCUGUCUCUGUGUGUGUGUGUGUGUGUGUGUGUGUGUGUGUGUGUGUGUGUGUGUGUGUGUGUGUGUGUGUGUGUGUGUGUGUGUGUGUGUGUGUGUGUGUGUGUGUGUGUGUGUGGAGCCGUCCGUAUGAAUGGCUUCUUUGUGAGGUCAGCUUGUAGUGACUUAGGGGAAACUCGGAUGGCAGGCGUGGGUUAACAGGGCCAGAAACUUUACCACAUGUAUCUGAGAAUAGGCUCCAUAAAUAAAUGCAUACAAUGUUUAGCUACUUUAUGUGUUUUCUUUGUCUUUGAUUAGAUUUGAUUUAAUGUCUGUGGUAGCAAAUAAAUGAAAGUGCAUUACGUCAUAGCUGCCAGGAGGUUUUAAACUCGCAUGAUGUGCAGUGACUAAUCAUGGUGUUUUACUGCUUUUUGACAUGAGCAAUCAACUUGAAAUCCUUUUUUUUAAAUACACUGUCUAUACUCUAUGCAAGUGCAUGUUCUUCUCUUGUAAACCUUGUUCAGAACCAGCUUUGUGAUGUUGAGGGCUGCCUUUUUUCUCAAUAUUGGGUGUUUAAAUUAGCUUAACACUUUGAUACAUGGAUAUUGUAGUACAAUUUUCCAUCUCUCUAACUACUGGAAAGAGAACAGGCGAUGACAGAAAGAAUAUAAAGGAAGAA